Molecule: long non-coding RNA, 934 nt
Organism: Cygnus olor (mute swan)
Lineage: Eukaryota; Metazoa; Chordata; Aves; Anseriformes; Anatidae
Exons: 4
Source: RefSeq, a predicted model, not a curated record
UUAAACGAACAUAAAAUCAACAAUUAUCAAAUAAAAGAAAGCAGAGUAUCUUCUCAAAAAACACACAAAUCUAACUGUACACUCACCAGAAACAUUUAGUAGGAAACCAGAAAACCAAUUCCAGAACUCAGAAAGAGAGACAAAGACAUACAUACAUAAAACAAGUAUCUUCACUCUCUCUUUAAAUUGCCGUUAACAAAAAUACACAUUGCUAACAAAAGCUUUGUUCACAGUCAAGUCUUUGAAUCCCUUCUAAUCUAACUUGAUUUAAAAGCCCUUGAAUUCCUUUUAAUUUACCUCUAAAAAUUCUGUUUAAUAAUCCAGAUUUCAACUUCCUUGUAGGCACAAAUAUAUGGAUAUAUAUUCCAGGCAACCUGUUCCACUGCCUCACCACCCCUCAGACUAAAGAAUUUUCUCCGAACAUCUAAUACAGAUCUCCCCUCUUUUAGUUUAAAACUGUUCCCCUGAGAGGCACUGCUUGUCAUUGGCCUCCACCUUGACACACAGGCUGGAAUGUUCUGGGUGUGGCCAUCCAGUCAAUUCCUUAUCCAACAAACAGUCCACCCUUGAAAUCCAUCUCUCUGCAACUUAGGGAUAAGGAUAACAAAUAUAACAUUAGGCAGUGCAUUGAAGACCAUGUGAAGGUGUUCCUUAUUCAGAACGGUGUGCAGUGCAGGGAGAAAAAACAGUGAAAAGGAAAUACAAAUAAGAUACCUGCACAUUUGUGAAGUACCACAAGGGAACUGUAGGACAUAGCUCGUACACUGAUACGCUACCUGUGGAUGGGAUUUUCAAAAGAGAAGAACACUUCUGAAACAAAACACUUGCUGGAAACUUCAGUUCAUCAUAGUGACAAGCAAGGAAAGAAGUUCUGAAAAGUCAAUUUUGGAAGUCAAUUUUCAAAAGUCUUACCAUCUACAGCAAGAGCUCUGUG